CGUCUUCCUUUUCUCUGAGACCUGUCUCUGGUUUCUCUUUCUGCCCUCAUGGCUCUCUCACGGCUCCUUGUCUGUCUGUCUGUCUGUCUGUCUGUCUGUCUACAUGUCCACUUGUCUACAUCUAUCCCUUCCCCAGGUCCUUGCUCCUCUCCCUUCUCCCAAUAAAUCUCUUUCAAACCAGAUCUGUUGCAUGGCAUAACUUCUCAGGGCUGUACCUUGGCAUGGACCCCUUGCUGCAUUAUAUUUCAGAACAUUGGAGUCAUGACCUCAGAGGGACUCUCCUGGUGUUUAACCACGUUGGGAUCCCACCUGUCUGAUACAUCGUGGGAAGAUCUGCUUUCUGCUUCACCAGUCAUUGGGCAUUCCAUCCAACCCUGACAAUUGAUGAAUGUAGAUCAACCCCAUCAGAAAAAUUUCUCUUUGUAGCAGAAAACCAUUACAGAAAACUGGAAUUGGUUGAAAUGCAGAAAGUGAAUGAUCAUGGGUGCCCAGCCCCAGUGGACAUGUCUACACCACAGC
This 519-nucleotide long non-coding RNA is filed under the name Mus musculus (house mouse). Its description in RNAcentral is "predicted gene, 47795". Lineage: Eukaryota; Metazoa; Chordata; Mammalia; Rodentia; Muridae. The record is from RNAcentral.